This 775-nucleotide ribosomal RNA is filed under the name Corallina officinalis. RNAcentral's name for it is "SSU rRNA". It matches the Rfam family "Eukaryotic small subunit ribosomal RNA", at positions 323 to 1102 of the family's 1831-position model. The record is from RNAcentral. Lineage: Eukaryota; Rhodophyta; Florideophyceae; Corallinales; Corallinaceae.
CGAUGGUAAGGUAGUGUCUUACCAUGGUGGCAACGGGUAACGGACCGUGGGUGCGGGACUCCGGAGAGGGAGCCUGAGAAACGGCUACCACAUCCAAGGAAGGCAGCAGGCGCGUAAAUUACCCAAUCCAGACUCUGGGAGGUAGUGACAAGAAAUAUCAAUAGGGGUCCCAUAAGGUCUUCUAAUUGGAAUGAGAACAAGCUAAACAGCUUAUCGAGAAUCCAGCAGAGGGCAAGUCUGGUGCCAGCGGCCGCGGUAAUUCCAGCUCUGUAAGCGUAUACCAAAGUUGUUGCAGUUAAAACGCUCGUAGUCGGACUUUGGCAAUUCCGGAUGUGUGCGCGUCGUGCGCGCACUUUGCAGGGGUUGCUUUUGUGGGCAUGCGUGGGAUGAUGCGACUUUAUUGUCGAACGUCCCUACGCAACCACCUUUUACUGUGAGAAAAUUAGAGUGUUCAAAGCAGGCAAUUGCCGUGAAUACAUUAGCAUGGAAUAAUAGGUUAGGACUCGGUCUUAUUUUGUUGGUUUGUUAGGGCUGAGUAAUGAUUAAGAGGGACAGUUGGGGGCAUUUGUAUUCAGGCGCUAGAGGUGAAAUUCUUAGAUUGAUGGAAGACAAACUGCUGCGAAAGCGUCUGCCAAGGAUGUUUUCAUUGAUCAAGAACGAAAGUAAGGGGAUCGAAGACGAUCAGAUACCGUCGUAGUCUUUACUAUAAACGAUGAGGACUGGGGAUCGGGCGAGGAAUAUCGAUGACCCGCCCGGCACCCUCCGGGAAACCAAA